Molecule: ribosomal RNA, 432 nt
Filed under: uncultured bacterium
Lineage: Bacteria
Description: bacterial SSU rRNA
Rfam family: Bacterial small subunit ribosomal RNA
Source: RNAcentral
CAGCCUAACACAUGCAAGUCGAACGCACCGCAAGGUGAGUGGCAGACGGGUGAGUAACACGUGGGAACGUACCCUUUGGUUCGGAAUAACUCAGGGAAACUUGAGCUAAUACCGGAUACGCCCUUUUGGGGAAAGGCUUGCUGCCGAAGGAUCGGCCCGCGUCCGAUUAGCUUGUUGGUGAGGUAACGGCUCACCAAGGCAUCGAUCGGUAGCUGGUCUGAGAGGAUGACCAGCCACAUUGGGACUGAGACACGGCCCAAACUCCUACGGGAGGCAGCAGUGGGGAAUAUUGGACAAUGGGCGCAAGCCUGAUCCAGCCAUGCCGCGUGAGUGAUGAAGGCCUUAGGGUUGUAAAGCUCUUUUACCUGGGAAGAUCAUGACGGUACCAGGAGAAUAAGCCCCGGCUAACUUCGUGCCAGCAGCCGCGGUAAU